Molecule: long non-coding RNA, 373 nt
Organism: Cyprinus carpio (common carp)
Lineage: Eukaryota; Metazoa; Chordata; Actinopteri; Cypriniformes; Cyprinidae
Exons: 2
Source: RefSeq, a predicted model, not a curated record
GUUUUGUUCCAGACCGCUGGUUGAGAGACAGUCCGUCUCGCUCUCAGCAUCACCCCUACAGUUCUAUCCCGUUUGGGGUUGGUGUUCGGGCCUGCGUGGGGAAGAGGGUUGCAGAGCUGGAGAUGUACUUUGCCCUAAGUAGACUGAUGCAACAUUAUGAGGUCAGAACGGAGGAGGGAGCCCCAUCGAUACAUCCCAAAACCAGAACCCUGCUCAUUCCCUCCAAACCUAUUGACCUGCAGUUUAUCCCUCGGGCUUGAUCCCAGCCAGCUCCAAUCAGUUAACCAAAAUCAGUAAUUUUAAUUCAAAUUAUUUUGCCUUUACGGUGAAGUAUGUAAGUUUUUGACUCUAAUAAAGCAUAAAAAUACCAUAA